RNAcentral lists this unclassified non-coding RNA (284 nucleotides) under plant metagenome. Its description in RNAcentral is "partial contains small subunit ribosomal RNA, internal transcribed spacer 1, and 5.8S ribosomal RNA". The stretch from base 1 to 53 matches the Rfam family "Eukaryotic small subunit ribosomal RNA", at positions 1778 to 1831 of the family's 1831-position model. The record is from RNAcentral.
GGAAGUAAAAGCGUAACAAGGUUUCCGUAGGUGAACCUGCGGAAGGAUCAUUAUUGUAUAACCGAGGUGCAAGGGCUGUCGCUGACCCGAAAGGUCGUGCACGCCCGAGUGCCCUCACACACAUCCAUCUCACCCCUAUGUGCACCACCGCGUGGGUCCCCCUUUGGCUUGUUCGGAGGGGGGCUUACGUUUUCACACAAACUUUGUAUGCAGUGUAGAAUGUAUUUUUUGUUUUUGCGAUCACGCAAUCAAUACAACUUUCAACAACGGAUCUCUUGGCUCUC